UUAAAAUUGAAUGGCGAUUGUCGGUAUAGUCUCUUUUUCCAAAAAUCUUGUUUGUUUUUGCCAAUCUAAUAAGAAAGUGACUAGACCGAACACUCGUGCUAUAAUUUUAAAA
Drosophila willistoni is the source of this 112-nucleotide microRNA precursor. It matches the Rfam family "mir-286 microRNA precursor family". The record is from Rfam. Lineage: Eukaryota; Metazoa; Arthropoda; Insecta; Diptera; Drosophilidae.